UAUUAUUUAAAAUAUUUAUUUAAUAUACUUUAGUAGUAUUAGUUAUGGGCUUGAAACUAAAAAAAUUUGGCGGUAUUUUAGUCUAUUCAGAGGAACCUGUUAUGUAAUCGAUAAUCCACGAUGGACCUAACUUAAUUUUGUUUUUCAGUUUGUAUAUCGCUGUUAUAGAAUAUUUUAUAAGAAAAAUAAUUUUCAAUAAAUUUUAUAAAAUUAUAUAUCAAGUCAAGGUGCAGUUAAUAAUUAAGUAUAAAAUGGGUUACAAUAAAUUUAUUUAAAUGAAUUAAUAAUUGAAAUAUUAUUAUGAAAGUGGAUUUGAUAGUAAAUUUUUAAAGAUAAAAGAAUUGAUUAUAGCUCUAAAAUAUGUACACAUCGC
Molecule: ribosomal RNA, 373 nt
Filed under: Drapetis sp. SNK-2009
Lineage: Eukaryota; Metazoa; Arthropoda; Insecta; Diptera; Hybotidae
Description: partial 12S ribosomal RNA
Source: RNAcentral